AACGUAGGAGACAAACGUUAUCCGGAGUUACUGGGCGUAAAGGGCGUGUAGGUGGUUUCGUAAGUCUGCCGUGAAAUUUCUCGGCUUAACCGAGGCAGGUCGUCGGAUACUGCGGAACUUGAGGACGGUAGAGGCGUGUGGAAUUCCGGGUGUAGUGGUGAAAUGCGUAGAGAUCCGGAGGAACACCAGUGGCGAAGGCGACACGCUGGGCCGUACCUGACACUGAUGCGCGACAGCAUGGGGAGCAAACAGG
This 253-nucleotide ribosomal RNA is filed under the name uncultured bacterium. RNAcentral describes it as "partial 16S ribosomal RNA". It matches the Rfam family "Bacterial small subunit ribosomal RNA", at positions 524 to 776 of the family's 1533-position model. The record is from RNAcentral.